Molecule: non-coding RNA, 212 nt
Organism: Arachis ipaensis
Lineage: Eukaryota; Viridiplantae; Streptophyta; Magnoliopsida; Fabales; Fabaceae
Source: RefSeq, a predicted model, not a curated record
CAGAUGAGGUAGACUCUUUUGAGCAACACGUUGACAACCUAUUUGCUGCAUCGGAGGCUCAGAAGUGCAAGGGACGCAAGACCACUGAAUUUUGGGAUAAUCUAAUAGCACAAUCAAACAAGCUCGUUUGAGUGUGAAGGAAGCUAUGAAGCCACCUAACGGUAGAAAGAUCGUACUCAAGUUCCACGAAAACCUGCAACUAAUUGAGCUUA